Molecule: non-coding RNA, 64 nt
Organism: Trichonephila inaurata madagascariensis
Lineage: Eukaryota; Metazoa; Arthropoda; Arachnida; Araneae; Nephilidae
Source: the annotation of a GenBank genome assembly
UGUAACGUAGUGGAUAGCGUGCUGUACUUCCAAUCCAAAGGUCGUGGGUUUGAAUCCCUCCUAA